Molecule: small nuclear RNA, 103 nt
Organism: Mustela putorius furo (domestic ferret)
Lineage: Eukaryota; Metazoa; Chordata; Mammalia; Carnivora; Mustelidae
Source: Ensembl
UUGCUUUGGCAUCACAUAUACUAAAAUUGGAACGAUUCAGAGAAGAGUAGCAUGGCCCCUGUGAAAAGAUGACACAAAAAUUUGUGACACAUUCCAUAUUUUU